Molecule: ribosomal RNA, 464 nt
Filed under: Vreelandella stevensii
Lineage: Bacteria; Pseudomonadati; Pseudomonadota; Gammaproteobacteria; Oceanospirillales; Halomonadaceae
Description: partial 16S ribosomal RNA
Rfam family: Bacterial small subunit ribosomal RNA
Source: RNAcentral
CCUACGGGGGCUGCAGUGGGGAAUAUUGGACAAUGGGCGAAAGCCUGAUCCAGCCAUGCCGCGUGUGUGAAGAAGGCCUUCGGGUUGUAAAGCACUUUCAGUGGGGAAGAAAGCCUUGGGGCUAAUACCCUCGAGGAAGGACAUCACCCACAGAAGAAGCACCGGCUAACUCCGUGCCAGCAGCCGCGGUAAUACGGAGGGUGCGAGCGUUAAUCGGAAUUACUGGGCGUAAAGCGCGCGUAGGCGGUCUGAUAAGCCGGUUGUGAAAGCCCCGGGCUCAACCUGGGAACGGCAUCCGGAACUGUCAGGCUAGAGUGCAGGAGAGGAAGGUAGAAUUCCCGGUGUAGCGGUGAAAUGCGUAGAGAUCGGGAGGAAUACCAGUGGCGAAGGCGGCCUUCUGGACUGACACUGACGCUGAGGUGCGAAAGCGUGGGUAGCAAACAGGACUAGAUACCCUAGUAGUC